UGGGAAAGAAAGGCAACCUGGUCU
This 24-nucleotide non-coding RNA is filed under the name Cricetulus griseus (Chinese hamster). The record is from RNAcentral. Lineage: Eukaryota; Metazoa; Chordata; Mammalia; Rodentia; Cricetidae.